UGACGUAGGGUGCUAGCGUUGUCCGGAUUUAUUGGGACGUAAAGAGCUUGUAGGCUGGCUCGUCGCGGUCGGGUAGUGAAACUUGCGGCUUAACCGCAAGCCUGCACCCGAUACGGGCGGGCUGAGAGUUCGGCAGGGGAGACUGGAAUUCCUGGUGUAGCGGUGGAAUGCGCAGAUAUCAGGAGGAACAGCCGGUGGCGAAGGCGGGUCUCUGGGCCGAUACUGACGCUGAGGAGCGAAGCGUGGGGAGCGAACAGG
Molecule: ribosomal RNA, 258 nt
Filed under: uncultured bacterium
Lineage: Bacteria
Description: partial 16S ribosomal RNA
Rfam family: Bacterial small subunit ribosomal RNA
Source: RNAcentral